AACGAACGCUGGCGGCAUGCCUAACACAUGCAAGUCGAACGAGACCUUCGGGUCUAGUGGCGCACGGGUGCGUAACGCGUGGGAACUGCCCCUUGGGUUGGGAUAACCCCCCGGAAGGGGUUCCUAUUCCGGGUAAUUGUUUCGGGCCAAAGAUUUAUCGCCCUUGGAUGGGCCCGCGUUGGAUUAGCUAGUUGGUAGGGUAAAAGCCUACCAAGGCGACGAUCCAUAGCUGGUCUGAGAGGAUGAUCAGCCACACUGGGACUGAGACACGGCCCAGACUCCUACGGGAGGCAGCAGUGGGGAAUAUUGGACAAUGGGCGAAAGCCUGAUCCAGCAAUGCCGCGUGAGUGAUGAAGGCCUUAGGGUUGUAAAGCUCUCUUACCCGGGAUGAUAAUGACAGUACCGGGAGAAUAAGCUCCGGCUAACUCCGUG
RNAcentral lists this ribosomal RNA (432 nucleotides) under uncultured bacterium. Its description in RNAcentral is "partial 16S ribosomal RNA". It matches the Rfam family "Bacterial small subunit ribosomal RNA", at positions 29 to 507 of the family's 1533-position model. The record is from RNAcentral.